Molecule: ribosomal RNA, 434 nt
Filed under: uncultured Lachnospiraceae bacterium
Lineage: Bacteria; Bacillati; Bacillota; Clostridia; Lachnospirales; Lachnospiraceae
Description: partial 16S ribosomal RNA
Rfam family: Bacterial small subunit ribosomal RNA
Source: RNAcentral
ACGGAAGGCAGCAGUGGGGGAUAUUGCACAAUGGGGGAAGCCCUGAUGCAGCGACGCCGCGUGAGUGAAGAAGUAUUUCGGUAUGUAAAGCUCUUUAAGUUGGGAAGAUAAUGACGGUACCAACAGAAUAAGCCCCGGCUGACUACGUGCCAGCAGCCGCGGUAAUACGUAGGGGGCAAGCGUCAUCCGGAUUUACUGGGUGUAAAGGGAGCGUAGACGGCAUAGCAAGUCUGAAGUGAAAUCAUAGGGCUUAACCCGGUAAUUGCUUUGGAAACUGUUAAGCUCGAGUACCGGAGGGGCAGGCGGAAUUCCUGGUGUAGCGGUGAAAUGCGUAGAUAUCAGGAAGAACACCGGUGGCGAAGGCGGCCUGCUGGACGGUAACUGACGUUGAGGCUCGAAAGCGUGGGGAGCAAACAGGAUUAGAUACCCUGGUA